UCUAUUCACGACUGUAAGUCGCUCUGGAUAAGAGCGUCUUCUAAAUGACUAAAA
Molecule: non-coding RNA, 54 nt
Organism: Salmo salar (Atlantic salmon)
Lineage: Eukaryota; Metazoa; Chordata; Actinopteri; Salmoniformes; Salmonidae
Source: Rfam